This 735-nucleotide long non-coding RNA is filed under the name Coturnix japonica (Japanese quail). RNAcentral's name for it is "lncRNA (ENSCJPG00005010473.1)". The record is from RNAcentral. Lineage: Eukaryota; Metazoa; Chordata; Aves; Galliformes; Phasianidae.
UAACUGUGGGCUCUAUGCUUUUGGAGCGAUAAUUAAAAGGAGGGGGUUGGAGCUGCCCAGGGGCUAGGUAACUAUGAGGUUGGAAUAAAGAGUCUUAUCCCUCCAUUCAGCAACUGACUGAUAGCAUGAAACAAAGAUGAAUAUGUAAGAAGGCUGGUUGAAUCAAAGCUUGAAAAUGACACUCAAAUAAAAAACCUUCAGCUCAAAAGCACGAACAUUUCCCACCUGGAUUUUAACGUUGCCUUACCAGAAAACAUCCUUUCAUUUCAAACCAGCUUUUGUUCCCCAUUGUGCUGUAUACCAGUAAAGGACUCUGAAGGCUAAGCAGUUUCAAGACAUCUUGAUGCCUGGAUGAAAGAUGUUUCUUCUGAGUCAGCAGUGUUCUUCUCCAGCAUUUUGCAAGGUGUUUUCUCCUGCUGGCAAAAUCAGAAAUACUAGUAACUUAACAAGGCUUUUAAAGGGGCAACACUUUGGUCUCCAAUGGAAAUUUACUUCCAUUCCACCCUGUUGCGAUCUUAAGGAAGUUGCCAGUGGAAAUCUGUCCACAAUGAAGUAAGUGGCCAGAGUAGCUGGGUACACUGAAUCCUCUAUUUCAAAAGUCAAUGAGGUGUUGUUACUGUGAAUGUAAAACACAUUGGAGACAGAAGGAAAGGAGGAGAAGAUAAUGCGUGUCAUUUUGCAAUCAGUUCAUUAGGAAAAGGAAAAAAAAAAAACAAAACAAAAAAACCCAAAAAG